RNAcentral lists this ribosomal RNA (491 nucleotides) under uncultured bacterium. RNAcentral describes it as "partial 16S ribosomal RNA". It matches the Rfam family "Bacterial small subunit ribosomal RNA", at positions 29 to 506 of the family's 1533-position model. The record is from RNAcentral.
AGUGAACGCUGGCGGUAGGCCUAACACAUGCAAGUCGAACGGCAGCACAGUAAGAGCUUGCUCUUACGGGUGGCGAGUGGCGGACGGGUGAGGAAUACAUCGGAAUCUACUUUUUCGUGGGGGAUAACGUAGGGAAACUUACGCUAAUACCGCAUACGACCUACGGGUGAAAGCAGGGGAUCUUCGGACCUUGCGCGAUUGAAUGAGCCGAUGUCGGAUUAGCUAGUUGGCGGGGUAAAGGCCCACCAAGGCGACGAUCCGUAGCUGGUCUGAGAGGAUGAUCAGCCACAUUGGAACUGAGACACGGUCCAGACUCCGACGGGAGGCAGCAGUGGGGAAUAUUGGACAAUGGGCGCAAGCCUGAUCCAGCCAUACCGCGUGGGUGAAGAAGGCCUUCGGGUUGUAAAGCCCUUUUGUUGGGAAAGAAAAGCAGCAGGUUAAUACCCCGCUGUUCUGACGGUACCCAAAGAAUAAGCACCGGCUAACUUCGU